UCCUUGAAUAAGUCCAGGAACAUAGUGCCACAGAGGAGAUGGGCCUUGUGCUUACUCAUGGGGGUCUUCUUCUUCUCUCACACAUUGUGCUGAUGUGAUUCUCAUGACUCUUGCUUGGAGAGAUCUGGACGAGGAGUUGGGGGAACCUCUGACCUUGCCCA
This 161-nucleotide ribozyme is filed under the name Otolemur garnettii (small-eared galago). RNAcentral describes it as "Hovlinc ribozyme (hominin vlincRNA-located)". It matches the Rfam family "Hovlinc ribozyme (hominin vlincRNA-located)". Rfam says of the family: Hovlinc is a recently evolved class of self-cleaving ribozyme found in a very long non coding RNA (vlincRNA) in hominins, including humans (genus Homo), and chimpanzees and bonobos (genus Pan), but missing in gorillas (genus Gorilla). The record is from Rfam by way of RNAcentral. Lineage: Eukaryota; Metazoa; Chordata; Mammalia; Primates; Galagidae.